GUCCCUUGUUCCUAAACUCCUUCCCAGUGGCUGUCAGAGCCUUCUAGGAAUUACUUUUAACCUUUGUUCAUAGCCUCACUUCUAUUCAUGUCCCCACACAUCCCUCAACCCUUUUUCUAAGUUCAUGCCCACUAUGUCCUCCUGUUCCUUCACUUUCAUUAUUUUUCUUUCAGCCCCUUUGGCCAAGUUUUCCCUAACACUUUUUUUAGGGUCUCAUCCAUCCCUUAAGCCUCAGCUUAAAUUCCAUCCUGUAAGAAUUCUUACGAAGUUCCCUGAUCACAGACCUCUCCUGUGGUCCCCUGAGACUUUGUUGGUGCCUCAAUUGCAGUAGACACCCCUGGCUGCCUAAUUCCAGAAGAAUGUCUGUCUCUCUGUCUCCUUUCUAGGCUGUGAUCUCCUGGAGGGCUCGUCUCUCUGGCCCCUGAACACCUGGUACCAUGAUUUGCACAAAAAGUUCCUUUCUGAUUGGAAUUCUGGGACCUGUCUAUUUGUCCCAUAAGACCAGGUUCAGAUGCCAUCCCUGGACUCAAGGCACUGGGCUCACCAGAGAGCCAGGGUUAUUUUCUCAUCUGUCAGGCCCUUGGACUGUGGGUGCCCAAGGGCCAGGACCCUCGGGGUGCUGAGGAGGAGAACAGAGUGGAUUUUGAUCACUGCUCAGAGAAGCUCUCAAAAGCAGAGCCUCGGUCUGACCAGCCUCUGUACCCCAGAGCCCGGCAGAGCUUCUGACCUUGAACAGGUUUCAGCACCCACUUCCCAGGCACCUGGCAAUGGUGGAAUCAUCAGCCUGGAAGUUAUUUUGAAGGAGGAAGGACCAUGCAUCUCGGAUCCUGGGCCCAUCCUGCAGCACUCGCUACUCCUGGGGGCUGAUUGGGGGCCAGGGUGGAGUCCAGGGUGACCUGGGUCGCAGGGCCAGGAGAAGCAGCCAGGCCUCUAGACACUCUGGUCCUACAUGAUGACACUGCAGAGAGAUGGUGAUGAUGAUGAAGGCUCCUUUAUUAAGAGCCGACUGUGUGCUGGCGUGGCCCUUCACGUACCUCGCGGCACUUGUUUUGAGUGUCACGAGUGUCUCGUACAUGUGAGGAAGGUGAGGUGAGGUGAGGUGCCCAGUGUCUGCAGCUGGAGGCUGAGGCUGGUGUGAUGUGACAUGGGCCUGCCCUGUCUAAGGCAUCAGUUCUCAACCUUGGCCUGUGCAUCAGACUCAGCUGGAAGCUUCAAAAAAAUACUUAUGCCUGGGCCCCACCCCUAGAGUUUCUAUUCAAUAAGUGUGUGUGUGAUCUAGGCACCAGGAUUUUUAAAAGCUCCCCAGGAAAUUUUAAUGUUCAAUAAAGUUUGAGGCCCUCUGUCCUCCUGCCCCAGUGCUGUUGUUGUUUUUGCCUUUUGGUUCUCAUUCCUGAAGUGUUCAGAUCUGCACUCAGAACUCAAAGAAAUCUAGUGAAAAAAAUAAAAUAAAAUUAAGGAACGACAGCUCCA
This is a long non-coding RNA of Camelus dromedarius (Arabian camel), 1470 nucleotides long. RefSeq lists it as uncharacterized. The record is from RefSeq and is a predicted model, not a curated record. Lineage: Eukaryota; Metazoa; Chordata; Mammalia; Artiodactyla; Camelidae. The transcript has 4 exons.